RNAcentral lists this ribosomal RNA (301 nucleotides) under uncultured bacterium. RNAcentral's name for it is "partial 16S ribosomal RNA". It matches the Rfam family "Bacterial small subunit ribosomal RNA", at positions 509 to 807 of the family's 1533-position model. The record is from RNAcentral.
CAGUCGCCGCGGUAAUACGGAGGGUGCAAGCGUUAAUCGGAAUUACUGGGCGUAAAGCGCACGCAGGCGGUCUGACAAGUCAGAUGUGAAAUCCCCGGGCUUAACCUGGGAACUGCAUUUGAAACUGUCAGGCUGGAGUCUUGUAGAGGGGGGUAGAAUUCCAGGUGUAGCGGUGAAAUGCGUAGAGAUCUGGAGGAAUACCGGUGGCGAAGGCGGCCCCCUGGACAAAGACUGACGCUCAGGUGCGAAAGCGUGGGGAGCAAACAGGAUUAGAGACCCCAGUAGUCCCUGACUCUUAUAC